AGUCGCCAUUUGCAUCUUUCUUUCUUGCUGAAGCUUUCUGAGGGGUAGGUUGUUUUUGCUCAUUUCUACCUCUUUUUGUUCAAAAGGGACGUAUUACAGUGGUUAUGGGGGGCACACUUCGGUAUAUCAAGCAAUUGGAGGACAUAUUUUGUGGAGCAUUUGUUUUAGGAAGUUCGGAAAAUGUAAUGCUGCUCAAGCUGCCCAAAAGGUGAAGCUGUGUAGGACCGUGGUUUAUUUCAGAACGAAAGUGUUUACAUGCUGAUGCCUUAAGAAGCUAUCAACAGUGCUUCAGGAGCCAUAUUUUUACGAUGGACUGAUCGUAUCUGGAAAUUUUGUUAUCUUUAGACAACAUAUUUUUAGUUGGCCUCCAUUAAGAAAUGAGGUGCGAAGGAGAGGGACCUGAUUCAGAAAUUCAUGUUUUUUUGCAACGAAACCAACACCGGUUUAGGAUUCAACGCGACAUGACUUGAGAGUGCUCGUGACUGUAAAAUUGAAUGGUUUAAUAAAUCGUAUCAUAGUU
Molecule: long non-coding RNA, 520 nt
Organism: Tribolium castaneum (red flour beetle)
Lineage: Eukaryota; Metazoa; Arthropoda; Insecta; Coleoptera; Tenebrionidae
Exons: 8
Source: RefSeq, a predicted model, not a curated record